GUCUCUAUAGCUCAGUGGCAGAGCGCAGGUCUCAUACUGUGAAAAUCACUGUGUGAUCGUAUGAUAACAUACGAGCAAUCCUGAGGUCGACGGUUCGAUGCCGCCUAGGGACA
This is a transfer RNA of 113 nucleotides. It matches the Rfam family "tRNA". From Rfam's summary of the family: Transfer RNA (tRNA) molecules are approximately 80 nucleotides in length. Their secondary structure includes four short double-helical elements and three loops (D, anti-codon, and T loops). The record is from Rfam.